GGUCUCUCUCUUCAUAUGAUUCCGGAGUCGUUGCAAACCUCCUCUCUUACUCUUUAUCGUCCUCUUUUUGACACCAAGAUCAGUUGGCACAAAACUCCAAGAUCUGUUCAAAUCAGCCCUUUAUUUGCGAAUUGAAGGUCAAAUCUGCAACUUUGCUUUAGCUAUUUGGUUUGCUUUUUCUUGAACUUUAGUUGAUUUGUAGAUCUGGUAUGUUGCUGUUUGUGUUCGAAGAUUGUAUCCUUAUGCUGAAAUUUUUUCUGAGCUUGUUUUGUUUUCUUGUAAUAUUUGCAGAUCUGGUUGGUUGAGUGGAAGACUAGCGUGUUUGCUACCCAUAAAAGUAAAAGUUGACCUGAAUGGAAGAAAUCCCGGAGGAGUUACCGAAAAAUGAUUCUAUUCAAAUUAGGGAGGUAUGGAAUGACAAUCUUGAACGAGAGCUUGCUCUAAUUCGUGAAAUCGUGGAUGACUAUCCUUAUAUUGCGAUGGAUACUGAGUUCC
RNAcentral lists this long non-coding RNA (495 nucleotides) under Olea europaea subsp. europaea. Lineage: Eukaryota; Viridiplantae; Streptophyta; Magnoliopsida; Lamiales; Oleaceae. The record is from RNAcentral.